AUUGAACGCUGGCGGAAUGCUUUACACAUGCAAGUCGAACGGCAGCACGGACUUCGGUCUGGUGGCGAGUGGCGAACGGGUGAGUAAUACAUCGGAACGUGCCCAGUCGUGGGGGAUAACGUAGCGAAAGCUACGCUACUACCGCAUACGAUCUAAGGAUGAAAGCGGGGGACCGUAAGGCCUCGCGCGAUUGGCGUGGCCAAUGCCUGAUUAGCUAGUUGGUGGGGUAAAAGCCCACCAAGGCGACGAUCAGUAGCUGGUCUGAGAGGACGAUCAGCCACACUGGGACUGAGACACGGCCCAGACUCCUACGGGAGGCAGCAGUGGGGAAUUUUGGACAAUGGGGGCAACCCUGAUCCAGCAAUGCCGCGUGAGUGAAGAAGGCCUUCGGGUUGUAAAGCUCUUUUGUCAGGGAAGAAACACCGGCUCUAACACAGUCCGGGAAUGACGGUACCUGAAGAAUAAGCACCGGCUAACUACGUACCAGCCGCCGCAGUAA
This 499-nucleotide ribosomal RNA is filed under the name uncultured bacterium. RNAcentral describes it as "partial 16S ribosomal RNA". It matches the Rfam family "Bacterial small subunit ribosomal RNA", at positions 30 to 523 of the family's 1533-position model. The record is from RNAcentral.